Non-coding RNA from Cicer arietinum (chickpea), 225 nucleotides. The record is from Rfam. NCBI's taxonomy places the organism in Eukaryota, Viridiplantae, Streptophyta, Magnoliopsida, Fabales, Fabaceae.
ACGACCUUACUUGAACAGGAUCUGUUCUAUAGGAUCGUACUACUGUGUCCUUAUAUUCUAAGGAGACAGGAACCUACAUCUGGUGGAUGACACGUGGCCGUGUGAUCAGAGCGUGAUUAACGGUUCUGAGGUGUGAGCUUCCGGUGACCACCGCAGUUAGCUGUAGAGGAUCGUUUCCGGGUUCACUUGUGGGCCUGGGAUGGUUACACGGUUGUCUGACAGAUU